GUGACUAAUUGCAUUUUUAUGUAAAAAGAAUAACAAACUGUUUUAUUCCACUGUUAUUAGAUGUACACUAGCCCAAUUUCUACAACCGUCCCAUCUCAUCAAAUGGUACACAUGUCACCCAUCAAAAUAAUAUUAACAUCAACAAUCACCGUACAUAAAAAAUAAAUUAAAAUUAAAAAAGUAGGGAAAAAAUGAAAAAUAAAGUAAAAGGAAAAACACUAACAAAAGGGCAAAGAGCAUGAAAUCAAGAAUCAUGAUCAAAACAAUCAUGAUCAAAAGCAAGGUACAGCCCCAAAGAAAGUAGCAGCAACUCACUUUCUUAAGCCAAAAGGGCAGCGAAGAAAGUAGCAGCAAGAGCGGUUGCACCAACGAAAACACCGUUGGUGGAGGCGCCAGAGGGAGGAGGGACUAGGUUGGCUGAAGGCUCGGAGGCUGGAGAAGGUACACCCGAUGGGGAGGGAGGAGGGACAAGGUUAGCUGAAGGCUCGGAGGCUGGAGCAGGUACACCUGAUGGGGUAGGAGCAGGAGGGGAGAUUGAUGAAGGAGAAGGAGUUGGGGAAGUGGUGGGUGACGGGGUUGGAGCUGUUGAAGGGGCUGUAGAUGGGGUUGGAGUUGGCGUUGGUGAUGGAGAUGGAGAUGGGGUUGGGGUUGGCGUUGGCGUUGGCGUUGGCGUUGGAGAUGGGGUUGGUGUUGCUGUUGGGGAAGAUGGUGGAGUUGCAGCUGGUGUUGGUGAAGAUGUUGGUGGAGAUGUCGGUGCUUGAGCCAUGGAGGUGGCCAAAAGACCCAAUAUCAUCAGAAGCUUAAACAUUGUACAACUCAUCUUUCUCUAAUAAGAGAAAAUCUCAAAACUAUGACAAAGAAAGGAAGAGUUUUUUCUUCUUUGGGUUCUAGAGUUCGACAGAUUUUAGGAGUGAGGGAAUUGAAAAGAAAAGGGAAAAUAACAAGGGCAGAAAAAGUGGGAGAGUAAUUAAUCAAAUCAAUAAUACAAAGAGAUUCUUUUGGAUUGUUGUUCCAAAAUUAUGCCAACUGUAACACAUAUUUAUAUUGUUGUAUAUACAUAUAUGCAAAGCACAUAACAUAGCAUGAUGGGCCUAUGGCUCAGCAAUGUUUUGGAAUUUUCAUUUUGCUCUCAUUUUCUUUGAAGUUUCUUCCAUUGAAAGGUCCAAAAAUAGUGCUACGCACUAAGGGCUAUGAUUUUGACAUCUGUUAUUGAGACAU
RNAcentral lists this long non-coding RNA (1218 nucleotides) under Durio zibethinus. Its description in RNAcentral is "long non-coding RNA (DZIB_LNC000340)". Lineage: Eukaryota; Viridiplantae; Streptophyta; Magnoliopsida; Malvales; Malvaceae. The record is from RNAcentral.